Molecule: unclassified non-coding RNA, 305 nt
Filed under: Hevea brasiliensis (rubber tree)
Lineage: Eukaryota; Viridiplantae; Streptophyta; Magnoliopsida; Malpighiales; Euphorbiaceae
Source: RNAcentral
GUUUAAUUAUAACUUUUUUAAAACUAGAAAAGUCACAUGCAUUUUAAAUAUUUAAUUGUUAUUUUUUAAGAAAAUUCGAAUUUGGUAUAUUUUUAUGUUAAAACCAAUAUCUUUGACUUCUAUUGGUAUUUCAUCGAUAUUUCGAUAUAUCAUUGAAAAACUAGAUAUAUACAUGGAAAUCAAUAUUAAAGACCCUGUAUGUACAUUAUUCUUUUUGAUAAGAUGAUGUUGUCCCACGGCCCAGGGCGGGCUGCUUCGCCAUUGAAGUCUAUUUUGUGUUGUUCAGGUUAAUGGUGAAGAUUUAG